RNAcentral lists this ribosomal RNA (430 nucleotides) under uncultured Acidobacteriota bacterium. RNAcentral's name for it is "bacterial SSU rRNA". It matches the Rfam family "Bacterial small subunit ribosomal RNA", at positions 355 to 776 of the family's 1533-position model. Lineage: Bacteria; Pseudomonadati; Acidobacteriota. The record is from RNAcentral.
UGAGGAAUUUUGGGCAAUGGGCGAAAGCCUGACCCAGCGACGCCGCGUGGGCGAUGAAGGCCUUCGGGUCGUAAAGCCCUGUGAGUUGGGAAGAAGCCGCAGCGUGCUAAUACCAUGCUGUGGUGACAGUACCAGCAGAGGAAGCCCCGGCCAACUACGUGCCAGCAGCCGCGGUAAAACGUAGGGGGCAAGCGUUGUUCGGAAUUACUGGGCGUAAAGCGCGUGUAGGCGGCUUGGCAAGUCGGAAGUGAAAGCCCUCGGCUCAACCGGGGAACUGCUUUCGAUACUGCCAGGCUUGAGUGCGGGAGGGGAGAGCGGAAUUCCCGGUGUAGCGGUGAAAUGCGUAGAUAUCGGGAAGAACACCGGUGGCGAAGGCGGCUCUCUGGACCGUUACUGACGCUGAGACGCGAAAGCGUGGGGAGCAAACAGG